Acyrthosiphon pisum (pea aphid) is the source of this 4316-nucleotide long non-coding RNA. RefSeq lists it as uncharacterized. The transcript is spliced from 3 exons. The record is from RefSeq and is a predicted model, not a curated record. Lineage: Eukaryota; Metazoa; Arthropoda; Insecta; Hemiptera; Aphididae.
AGUAUACCGUGCGGUCGUCUCGCGGCGGUCGCGGUUAUGUGUUAUACCUAAUAAUCGUAUAAUACCCGGUAACAACAAUUUAACGCUGUUCGGCGGCGGUGCAGGACAUGUCCGAGUCGUGGUCGCGUCCGCGGAGUCCGUCUUCCGCGCAGGACCUGCGACAACCACGGUUAUAGAUUUCGCCGUUAUUUUAUACGUCACCGGUGCCGUGGUAUCAUAUUAUACGCGUGCAGUGUACCUAUAGAUGAUAAAAUACGUAAAAAGUGAAAACGACCGGGAAAAUAAUAUGUUAUAUCGAAUCGCUCCGAAGAUAUUUCGAUGAAGUGUGCGAUGUUCUACAUAAUAUUGUGUGCUUAAGAUCGUAAAUUAUUAAAUUUUCAUCGUUAUUUAUAUAGGUACACGCAUUUAAAUAUCUAUCGUGUCAGAACGGCUGACCGACCGAAAUCGACGACAUAGUUUACUCUCUUCUAUAAGCAAAAAAUAACGAUGCAGCGAGACUUUGGUACUGUAUUGGAUUACGACCCCCUAUAAAUAUCAGGAUCCGCCUGAUCAUCGUUCCAAUUUACAUUUAAGCAGUUGGAUUCUGUAACCUGCAGUUGAUGCUCAUAGUCUACAUAUAAAUAACCAGAGUAAAAUAUGUUUCCUUCGCUGUGCACGUUGGGUCAAAAACUAAUUUUUAAAUUAUGAAUACGAUAUAAACGUCAUAUUGUCCUGACAUAAAGAGAGAGAGAGUAGAGAGAGUGAGAGGGUCAUGACGAUGCGGUGGUUGCGGGGUGCAGUUCGAGACGGAGAUAUCACGCGUAAGCGCAAGCUUAAUAUUAUAUUUGUGUUUAUAAAUUAUAAUAUUAUUAUGAAUUGUGUGAAUGACUUUCGUGCUGAAUUUAAAUUUUAAGUUUAAUUCAAUAGUUAUAAAAAAAUAUAUUAUUAUGCGUUGAUGAUUAGUGUAUUUCAAUUUUAAAUUGUUCACGACGAUCCCCUGUUACGCGUAUACUAUAUAGAUAUAAUGUAUAAUGUGAUGACAAUAUCGUCAGCCUACUAUUAAAACGUUUGGCCAACAUUAUAUAGAUGAUAAGUAGGUACUUACUGUGAUUUGACUAUAAUGAUAAAGUAUACAAAAAUAACUAUAAUAUAGAAAGUCCUAUAUUUAACUAUGAAAUAUAUUAUUACAGGCACAAAACACAUUUCUAGAGCAAUUUGGUUUCAUAAAAAUUGAUAUUAAUGUAAAAAUGCAUAUGGGUACUGCUAUGGCUGAAGAAAGUUUACUUUGGAAUUUUAAAAAUUCUUCCUCUAACUUGAAUUUGGAGCUUAUAAACCGAUAUUUCAACGAUUUUGUUCCAAAAUCUCAACUAUUUAUUAUAAUAUAAUAUAGUUUCAGCGGUAAUGGUAUUGUCGUACUCGACGUCCAUCUAAAUUUGCCAGGUCUGCGGACAGAGGGCACACACACACACACACGCACACACACACAUACAUGUACAUAAUAUAGAUAUAUAAAGCGGUGAAUAAAUUAGCUCGAAUGCUGUCCGAAGAAACAUAUUACGCAAAGUUUUCAGCCCCUGCACCGCCACCUGCCCCCCUCCCCAAAACCACCCACGCUCAGGGCUCGACCCCGCAGAGAGUCGGCGGCGUUGGCGUUGUCGGUGGCUGUGGCGGCGGGGCCGUUUAUUGAUUUCGGGACUUGGCGUCGUGUGUACCACGUACGCGUGUUGUAGGACCGCUGUAGUCCAAAGUACCGAUGCGAGAACGACGACGUAACCCUUUUUCUGCAGUCUGGAGUUGGCCAGCUAUCCGUUUCCCCCACCCCUAUACAUGUACACGCGGUCUAACCUUUUCCGCAACCCUUGUGGCAGCAGCUGAGCCGCCUUUGUUCGGUCGACCGUUUGUAUACGCAAGCACCCGAAAUACCGGUCAAAGCGACGUUAUACCGGACGAAACACAUCGUGCUGCUGCAGCGUACAAAUUAUUAUUAUUAUUAUUAUUAUUUCUAUCAUCAUCGUCGUCAUUAUCCAUUACUAUUGUACCAUUCGGGUCGGUAAAAGUUUAUGUUUUUAAUUUAUUUACUUCUCCGAGACUAGAAAACGGCUUUCGAAUGUUUUUUUUCGUUUUUUUUUUUUUUAUUAUUAUUAUUAUUAUUAUUAUUAUUCUGUACGUAUUAUACAUAAAAGGCCGCCGACUAACAAUGUCGAACCAAAUUCUUCGGGCACUGAUUAAUUCCAAAUCCACCCUCCGCCGGCCACGCGACCACCCUCCGCCUCCAUUCAGCCGCUACCAACGUAGUCGUAGUCGUCGUCGUCGUCGUCAUCCAGCGGGGUCGUCCGCGGCGGGGGCGAUAUUAUUGAAUUUUUCAUUAAGCGCCCUCAUCAGGGCUGUGUUAUUGUGACCGAAGAUAAUCAAGGCAUGUAGUUUUUUUUCUUUAUUAUUAUUAUUUUUUUUUUUGUUAUCGUCCCGACCCAGAAUAAUUCCAUACACAAUUAAACGGAGUUCUUUCGACUGGAGGGGUUCCGGAGCGGAAAAUCGAUGUGCCUCGAUCGGGCGGUUAUGGUGUAGGGUGAGUAGUGGCGGGUGAAAGAGAUCGCCGCCGCCGCAUGCUCUCGUCGGUAUAUUAUAGCAGCGUGUACAGAGUUGUGUAUUAUAUAUAAUAUCAUAAUAUAUAGUGCAGCGUAUAGUCAUAGCAAUAGCUGUAUAUAUAGCUCUGUUCGGCACUCGCGUAGGGAAAUAUUCCGAACUUGUUGCCAACAGCUGCCACGACUGUCGUCGCACACAGAAGGGAUAAUAUAAUAUAAUAACGCGCGCGACCGUGCGGAUGGAAACGCAUUCGGGCGAAGGCGGAAUAUCCAUAAAUUCGCCGAGCGAAAACAAAAACGCGCGACGUUUUGUCGUCUCGUGGACACCGCGAACUUAUCUAAAGCACGUGAUACAUACAUAUAAAAUAUAUGCAAACAAUAUAUACAGACGCGACCGAGUGGUUCCGAAGGGAGUGACGAACGCGUGGGCGAAGAAAUUCUAAAAUUUUAUAUUCAUCUAUAUUGUGAAACUUUUUCUGAAACGUUAUCGUAAGUCUGCUCCGUCAAGACUCCCUUGUCAUUUCGUAACUAUUGUGAUGGUUGUCGUCGUACCUUUUCAGGCUGAUCACGAGCGUAUAAUAUGCAUCACGCAAUUAUAAUCGUCGUCGCCGUCAGGGGUGCAAAACAACUUUUCUCAUGGCAAGGUCGCAUGGGGGAGGGCAAAAAAUAUUAUUAUAGAGAGCCUCGAUUAUGACUAUCGAUUAUAGGUCGGGUAUAAAUGCAUAAUAUAAUAAUUUAAUAUAAUAUUAUUUAACACUUGCGUACAAUAAACUAAAACCACCACAACAUUUCUGACGUUUUUACGUACCUAUGUGUUUGCGACGUAACAUUUUUUUUACAUUAAUUUGAGAUAUAUAUUUAGAUUCAUUUUAAGAUUUUGAAACAAAUAUUUUAUUAUAAAUAUUUUUUUAUUAUUCGAAAACCUCAUUAUAUAGUAGUCUACCACAUUUCCACAGUGGUUGUGGGUUACAUAUUUGAGUGUACUUUCGUAUAACUACUGGACUUAAGUAUUGUCUGUGCGACUUAUUAUGCGACAUACUUACUUACUUCUUAUUUAAAAAUAUUCAAUAAUAAUUAAUAAAAUAGUCAAUAAUUUCUAAAAUAUAAUAUAGCAGUAUAGCGAUAAGAAGCAAUAAGUAUAUAGUAGGUAAUAAUAUUGUUUGCUGCACAUCACAUUCCCAUAUAGUUACUAUGUAGGUACCUGCGUAUACUUUCUGCAGAUUUGAAGCUGUGAAAGAUUUAAUUUUAUUGAAGAGUUGAGGGUGGAAUGGGUGAAUGAAAGGGUGUAAAAAUUAUACGUCUGCCCUCUCCAGGGUAAUUUCCGAACGCUCUAGUGUCUAUAUGAACCUUAUUUGACCACCUUCUCCACUUUCCAGCGGCACUGGUUGUCUCGAAAUUGUUUUGUCUCGCACACAUGAUAAUAAUAAUAAACUAUUAUACCAUCGGUAGGCCGCGUAUAAUAAUAUAUUAUUAUUAUUCAACACUAGCGUACAACGAACUUUGAUACGGCAUCACACGACAUCUGACAUUUCCGCGUAUGUGUUCGCAACGCAACAAACCUUUGUACGCGUAAUUGCAGAGUGUUUACUGACCGAAUAAAUACACUGCGCUCAGCACACGCACACGGGGCGACGGCAUUAACUACAAACGCAAACGAUACACCUAUAUUAUAAUACAACAUGUUAUAUACACUCUGGUUCGCACGCGAUCGCUAAUAAUAUAUAAUAUUAUUAUUAAAAUGCACACCAACUUAAC